CAGUAGCCGCGUAAUACGUAGGUGGCAAGCGUUGUCCGGAAUUAUUGGGCGUAAAGGGCUCGCAGGCGGUUUCUUAAGUCUGAUGUGAAAGCCCCCGGCUCAACCGGGGAGGGUCAUUGGAAACUGGGAAACUUGAGUGCAGAAGAGGAGAGUGGAAUUCCACGUGUAGCGGUGAAAUGCGUAGAGAUGUGGAGGAACACCAGUGGCGAAGGCGACUCUCUGGUCUGUAACUGACGCUGAGGAGCGAAAGCGUGGGGAGCGAACAGGAUCAGAUACCCCUGUAGUCCCUGUCUCUUAUACA
RNAcentral lists this ribosomal RNA (301 nucleotides) under uncultured bacterium. Its description in RNAcentral is "partial 16S ribosomal RNA". It matches the Rfam family "Bacterial small subunit ribosomal RNA", at positions 509 to 808 of the family's 1533-position model. The record is from RNAcentral.